Molecule: small RNA, 592 nt
Filed under: Pan troglodytes (chimpanzee)
Lineage: Eukaryota; Metazoa; Chordata; Mammalia; Primates; Hominidae
Description: processed transcript
Source: RNAcentral
AACCUCCAGAAUGUCUGCUGGAUAAUUGCUCAAGGACUUUCUAUUCUGGCCUGGGGGUACCUUACACCAGGGCUGGGGAAGUUGGGAUUAUUUAUUUAUUUAUUUAUUUAUUUGAGAUGGAGUCUUUGCUCUGUUGCCCAGGCUGGAGUGCAGUGGUGUGAUCUCCGCUCACUGCAAGCUCUGCCUCCCAAGUUCACACCUGUCUCCCGUCUCAGCCUCCCGAGUAGCUGGGACUACAGGCGCCUGCCACCACGCCUGGCUAAUUUUUUGUAUUUUUUAGUAGAGAUGGGGUUUCACCGUGUUAGCCAGGAUGGUCUCGAUCUCCUGACCUCGUGAUCCGCCCGCCUCAGCCUCCCAGAGCGCUGGGAAUUCAGGUGUGAGCCACCGCGCCCGGCCGGGGAUUAUUUUUAAGUGCAGAAAGCUAGAGCCCUUGGAGGGGAAGUGACUUGCCAAAGGCCAUUGACAGAUAACCAUCUCUUAGAGAAGGCUGAGCUGCUGGACAAGUUCUCAAAGAAGCUGCAGCCGGAGCCAAACACUGUCACUCCCACCACCCACCAGGGCCCCUGGGAGGAGUCAGAGCUUGACUCAGACC